ACGCACGCUGGCGGCGUGCUUAACACAUGCCAGUCGAACGCUGAAGACCUGGCUUUUGUUGGGUUGGAUGAGUGGCGAACGGGUGAGUAACACGUGAGUAACCUGCCCUCUUCUUUGGGAUAACGCCCGGAAACGGGUGCUAAUACUGGAUAUUCACUGAUCUUCGCAUGGGGGUUGGUGGAAAGGUUUGUUCUGGUGGGGGAUGGGCUCGCGGCCUAUCAGCUUGUUGGUGGGGUGAUGGCCUACCAAGGCUUUGACGGGUAGCCGGCCUGAGAGGGUGACCGGUCACAUUGGGACUGAGAUACGGCCCAGACUCCUACGGGAGGCAGCAGUGGGGAAUAUUGCACAAUGGGCGAAAGCCUGAUGCAGCGACGCCGCGUGAGGGAUGGAGGCCUUCGGGUUGUAAACCUCUUUCGCUCAUGGUCAAGCCGCAACUGUGGGUUGUGGUGAGGGUAGUGGGUAAAGAAGCGCCGGCUAACUACGUG
RNAcentral lists this ribosomal RNA (485 nucleotides) under uncultured bacterium. Its description in RNAcentral is "partial 16S ribosomal RNA". It matches the Rfam family "Bacterial small subunit ribosomal RNA", at positions 29 to 507 of the family's 1533-position model. The record is from RNAcentral.